Long non-coding RNA from Leptidea sinapis, 321 nucleotides. RefSeq lists it as uncharacterized. Lineage: Eukaryota; Metazoa; Arthropoda; Insecta; Lepidoptera; Pieridae. The transcript has 2 exons. The record is from RefSeq and is a predicted model, not a curated record.
UCCCUAUCUACCGCAGUUUCGGACAUUUGGUUCAUGCACUCGGCCGAGCGGCCGGUGGUGCGAAGCUACCAUCCGCGGGAUUAUGCCUGAACGCCUCUAAGGCCGAAGCCAGCCUAGCCGAAUCCGGCAAGGAUAUACUCACUGUGGAGCCCCGAGUGUCGGGAGGCUCUAAACAAUGUGACUUUACAAGUCGCGUUUUAUUCGUAAGACGCGACGUCGCGAAGCCCAUUUGGAACGCGAAGAACGGUGCGAGCGGUAUUAACACGUGCACCACGGCGUCGAAGUUUCGAAUUUACCUCAGUUCGAUGUCGGGGCUCGGAA